AAUAAAUAUAGUUUUACACUAUUCACGUUUAACGUUUGAUCGUUCGUCUUAUUUGAAAAUUUUUUAUAAUUAGUAUUUUUAUUACUAUUAGAUGAUAAAACAUGAAUGGUACUUUAUGUGUGUCUAAAUAUUUUUAAAUUUUUCACAAAUUUUUUAAAUAAGACAGAUGGUCAAACAUUAGAUACGGAUAUCCCACAAUUAUA
This is a microRNA precursor of Oryza sativa Japonica Group (Japanese rice), 203 nucleotides long. It matches the Rfam family "MIR812 microRNA precursor family". NCBI's taxonomy places the organism in Eukaryota, Viridiplantae, Streptophyta, Magnoliopsida, Poales, Poaceae. The record is from Rfam.